Molecule: unclassified non-coding RNA, 160 nt
Filed under: soil metagenome
Description: partial internal transcribed spacer 1
Source: RNAcentral
CAGAGUUGCAAGACUCCCUAAACCAUUGUGAACCUACCUUCUACCGUUGCUUCGGCGGGCGGGCCCAGCGCCCCCCCCGGCCCCCCGCGGGCGCCCGCCGGAGGAUACCCAAACUCUUGACAUUAGUGGCCUCUCUGAGUAUUCUUUACCGAAUAAGUCA